UGUUAAAAUUUUUAUUUAUUUGUACUUUUAAAACUGACAUGGUUAAUAGAAUAACUAGACAGUAACUUUUAGCAUGUCACGUGUACCUCAUGCUAACGUCCAAAAACCAAUUUUUAAUGACAUAAACGGAUAAGAUUUAUAACA
This is a non-coding RNA of Gossypium hirsutum (cotton), 144 nucleotides long. Lineage: Eukaryota; Viridiplantae; Streptophyta; Magnoliopsida; Malvales; Malvaceae. The record is from Rfam.